This 265-nucleotide ribosomal RNA is filed under the name uncultured archaeon. RNAcentral's name for it is "partial 16S ribosomal RNA". It matches the Rfam family "Archaeal small subunit ribosomal RNA", at positions 718 to 982 of the family's 1478-position model. The record is from RNAcentral.
AGUCACUGACAUUAGACUACCCCGGUAGUCCCAGCCGUAAACUAUGCGCGUUAGGUGUACUGGUGGCCACGAGUCACCGGGGUGCCGAAGGGAAACCGUGAAACGUGCCGCCUGGGAAGUACGGUCGCAAGGCUGAAACUUAAAGGAAUUGGCGGGGAGCACCACAACGGGUGGAGCCUGCGGUUUAAUUGGACUCAACGCCGGAAAUCUCACCGGAUAGGACAGACAUAUGAUAGUCGGGCUGAAGACUCUACUUGAUGAUCUG